Molecule: long non-coding RNA, 526 nt
Organism: Sorex araneus (European shrew)
Lineage: Eukaryota; Metazoa; Chordata; Mammalia; Eulipotyphla; Soricidae
Exons: 3
Source: RefSeq, a predicted model, not a curated record
GGAGAUGAUCACUAUGGAGUGGCCUCUGGUGAUCACUUAGAAAUAUAGAAUGCUGAGAAAGAACUGUCUGGUUGGUAGCUGAAUGAUGACUGGGGAGACUUACCAGAUCCUCAUUUCGAUGGAAACACUGUGAGCAGAGCUCCCCACUCUGUGGCCCACCACCCCAUCAGGUGCCUCUCCUUUCCUUUAUUUAGUGCAUUCCCCUUGCACCACCAGUUCAGCUUGGUUCUCUAAAUCUGGGCCAUGGCCCUUUAAGGCCCCUGGCAGACGCGGAAGUGACAUCACAGUGGACCCUUCAGGAAUCCUUUCUACUCUAGCUGUGGUUCCCUGGCUCUGGCUGCCAUUGGUCUCAUGGGUACAGGAGGAAUUGGCACCUAGCAUGGUCAAGUAUUUCUGCUUUCUAAGGUUUAGUUGCAAAGCACCCCAACAUGUAUUCCCUCCCUGACCAUACUGCCCCCAGCUAUUGUGGUGAGUAAUAGGGCUAAAGUUUUGGGGUUUCUUUAAAGAGAAAUAAUUGAUUUUCAGG